RNAcentral lists this non-coding RNA (29 nucleotides) under Homo sapiens (human). The record is from RNAcentral. Lineage: Eukaryota; Metazoa; Chordata; Mammalia; Primates; Hominidae.
UCCAUUAAUAUGGGGUGUGACCAUUUAUG